Oryza sativa Japonica Group (Japanese rice) is the source of this 521-nucleotide non-coding RNA. Lineage: Eukaryota; Viridiplantae; Streptophyta; Magnoliopsida; Poales; Poaceae. The record is from RefSeq and is a predicted model, not a curated record.
CCACGCAUGUGCUGUCACUAAGUUUAUUUGGCUAACAAAGGGGUCUAGCUGAUGGGAGGAUGGACCCAGUGUUUAACAGGUUUGGUCUGGACAAGCUAGGGCCCAUGUCAUGUGCGCCUGUACCAGGCAUGGACAUUGUUUGGACUGGGCUCAUCUCAUAUGGGACAACUGUUUGAGGGGGGUUGGAAAACAACCUCAUAUCCAUUAGCGAAGCUGGACUCAGAAAUUCAACAUUAUAAUACCUGUUACACGUGAAGGGAAUGGUUUUGAAAGGAUGCAUGGCUUAGGGCCUUUCAGCACAAUAGCACAUAAUAUUGUCACUGAACAUGGAGGAAGCUAGGCAGGCGAUGGAUAUUCUUAAGAGCUGCUAACUCAUGCCAACUGACAGCUGGUGAGAUAAUGGCAAAUGUCUAACCAUGCUGUGGGGUUGGAGGCCUAGAUCUCUGAACCCCAAGGGAAGCCAGAUUACAGUUAGCCCUUCUCCCGUCGAUCACCGGCGCGGGAUCAACGCAAGCCCUCAU